RNAcentral lists this long non-coding RNA (229 nucleotides) under Pan troglodytes (chimpanzee). Its description in RNAcentral is "long non-coding RNA NONPTRT002572". The record is from RNAcentral. Lineage: Eukaryota; Metazoa; Chordata; Mammalia; Primates; Hominidae.
AUUUGGGUGGGGACACAGCCAAACCAUAUUAUAUAGGAAACUUUUUCAAGAUUUUUUCAAAAUUGUUUUUGACCAAGUUUAACAUAGAUCACAGAUAGCCUACCUUACCAAUAUUCAAUGAGAGGGAGGAAUUUGAUUCAACCAAUAACAAGGAGCAUAGGUGAUGUUGCAUAGAAUCACAUUAUUUAUUAUAUUUACAGAAAAUAGCACCCUCAGACAUCUUAUCACC